RNAcentral lists this ribosomal RNA (500 nucleotides) under uncultured bacterium. RNAcentral's name for it is "partial 16S ribosomal RNA". It matches the Rfam family "Bacterial small subunit ribosomal RNA", at positions 899 to 1397 of the family's 1533-position model. The record is from RNAcentral.
ACUCAAAGGAAUUGACGGGGGCCCGCACAAGCGGUGGAGCAUGUGGUUCAAUUCGAAGCAACGCGAAGAACCUUACCAGCCCUUGACAUGGGUGGACGAGAUUCAGAGAUGAAUCUCUUCUCGCAAGAGACCACUACACAGGUGCUGCAUGGCUGUCGUCAGCUCGUGUCGUGAGAUGUUGGGUUAAGUCCCGCAACGAGCGCAACCCUCAUCUUCAGUUGCCAUCAGGUUAGGCUGGGCACUCUGAAGAAACUGCCGUUGACAAGACGGAGGAAGGCGGGGAUGACGUCAAGUCCUCAUGGCCCUUAUGGGCUGGGCUACACACGUGCUACAAUGGCGGUGACAAUGGGCAGCAAAGCCGCGAGGCCGCGCCAAUCCCAAAAAGCCGUCUCAGUUCAGAUUGCACUCUGCAACUCGAGUGCAUGAAGGCGGAAUCGCUAGUAAUCGUGGAUCAGCAUGCCACGGUGAAUACGUUCCCGGGCCUUGCACACACCGCCCGU